AUUGAACGCUGGCGGCAUGCCUUACACAUGCCAGUCGAACGGCAGCAUGAUCUAGCUUGCUCGAUUGAUGGCGAGUGGCGAACGGGUGAGUAAUACAUCGGAACGUGCCCUGUAGUGGGGGAUAACUAGUCGAAAGAUUAGCUAAUACCGCAUACGACCUGAGGGUGAAAGUGGGGGACCGCAAGGCCUCAUGCUAUAGGAGCGGCCGAUGUCUGAUUAGCUAGUUGGUGAGGUAAAGGCUCACCAAGGCGACGAUCAGUAGCUGGUCUGAGAGGACGAUCAGCCACACUGGGACUGAGACACGGCCCAGACUCCUACGGGAGGCAGCAGUGGGGAAUUUUGGACAAUGGGCGAAAGCCUGAUCCAGCAAUGCCGCGUGUGUGAAGAAGGCCUUCGGGUUGUAAAGCACAUUUGUCCGGAAAGAAAUGGCUCUGGUUAAUACCAGGGGUCGAUGACGGUACCGGAAGAAUAAGGACCGGCUAACUACGUG
Molecule: ribosomal RNA, 490 nt
Filed under: uncultured bacterium
Lineage: Bacteria
Description: partial 16S ribosomal RNA
Rfam family: Bacterial small subunit ribosomal RNA
Source: RNAcentral